CCGCCUAUAGCUCAGCUGGUAGAGCAGGUCGCUCUUAACGACAAGGUCCCAGGUUCGAUCCCUGGUGGGCGGACAA
RNAcentral lists this transfer RNA (76 nucleotides) under Candidatus Kaiserbacteria bacterium RIFCSPHIGHO2_01_FULL_46_22. RNAcentral describes it as "tRNA-Lys". It matches the Rfam family "tRNA". Rfam says of the family: Transfer RNA (tRNA) molecules are approximately 80 nucleotides in length. RNAcentral also lists the same sequence under 1 other name. The record is from RNAcentral. Lineage: Bacteria; Candidatus Kaiseribacteriota.